CCUACGGGAUGCAGCAGUGAGGAAUAUUGGUCAAUGGGCGAGAGCCUGAACCAGCCAAGUCGCGUGAAGGAUGACGGCCCUACGGAUUGUAAACUUCUUUUGUCAGGGAGCAAUUGAGUCCACGUGUGGUCUUAGCGAGAGUACCUGAAGAAAAAGCAUCGGCUAACUCCGUCCCAGCACCCGCGGUAAUACGUAGGAUGCGAGCGUUAUCCGGAUUUAUUGGGUUUAAGGGGUGCGUGGGCGGAAUAUCAAGUCAGCGGUAAAAAUUCGGGGCUCAACCCCGUCGUGCCGUUGAAACUGAUGUUCUUGAGUGGGCGAGAAGUAGGCGGAAUGCGUGGUGUAGCGGUGAAAUGCAUAGAUAUCACGCAGAACUCCGAUUGCGAAGGCAGCAUACCGGCGCCCAACUGACGCUGAGGCACGAAAGCGUGGGUAUCGAACAGGAUUAGAUACCCUAGUAGUC
Molecule: ribosomal RNA, 460 nt
Filed under: uncultured bacterium
Lineage: Bacteria
Description: partial 16S ribosomal RNA
Rfam family: Bacterial small subunit ribosomal RNA
Source: RNAcentral